GACGAACGCUGGCGGCGUGCUUAACACAUGCAAGUCGAACGGAAAGGCCCUGCUUUUGUGGGGUGCUCGAGUGGCGAACGGGUGAGUAACACGUGAGUAACCUGCCCUUGACUUUGGGAUAACUUCAGGAAACUGGGGCUAAUACCGGAUAGGAGCUCCUGCUGCAUGGUGGGGGUUGGAAAGGUUCGGCGGUUGGGGAUGGACUCGCGGCUUAUCAGCUUGUUGGUGGGGUAGUGGCUUACCAAGGCUUUGACGGGUAGCCGGCCUGAUAGGGUGACCGGCCACAUUGGGACUGAGAUACGGCCCAGACUCCUACGGGAGGCAGCAGUGGGGAAUAUUGCACAAUGGGCGGAAGCCUGAUGCAGCAACGCCGCGUGCGGGAUGACGGCCUUCGGGUUGUAAACCGCUUUCGCCUGUGACGAAGCGUGAGUGACGGUAAUGGGUAAAGAAGCACCGGCUAACUACGUG
Molecule: ribosomal RNA, 468 nt
Filed under: uncultured bacterium
Lineage: Bacteria
Description: partial 16S ribosomal RNA
Rfam family: Bacterial small subunit ribosomal RNA
Source: RNAcentral